Long non-coding RNA from Mauremys reevesii (Reeves's turtle), 2070 nucleotides. RefSeq lists it as uncharacterized. Lineage: Eukaryota; Metazoa; Chordata; Testudines; Geoemydidae. The record is from RefSeq and is a predicted model, not a curated record. The transcript is spliced from 5 exons.
ACUGAGCAAGGUCUCUGAAAGGGAUGCCCCAAUAGACCCCAGAGUGAAAAACCCAAGAGUAGAAGCGAGUUGGAGAGUUUUUGCAGUAUACCUCUGGACAACCUGUGCACAGGAUAACCUCCCAUCCACCUCUCUCUCUCUCUGUCUCUCCUACCCCCAGGCCUGGCCCCAGCCCAGACGGUGUGUUUGUGAGUAUGAAAGAAGAAGGUUGCAGCCAUUCUGAAGGAGAAAUGGGCCCUUUUCCAAAGGAAUUUCUGUAAAUAAUCCAGGCAAGAGGUUAUUUAAGUGGAAUCAUUUGACUAUGAGAAAUACUAAGGUUUUAAUAUAGAUGACAGAAGCUGCGCCAAGCUGUGAAAUGUUCUUGGAGUGCUGCUGGGUGCACUUUAUACCUGGAUCACCUUUGGCGCUCUCCGGACAGUCGCCUGGUUGCGCCUCAGGUGCUCUUGCCCUAUUUCGAGCAAAGAAGGGGAUGAUUGCUGCAGUUAAUGAGAUUGUGUUGGCCACACACAGUGCUGAUCUGCCUUUCCUGGAGACUCACUGAGGGAAGAGGGUCAGCAAUAUAAUAUUGGAAUAAUACUGCCAGCAACAUAAUAUUGGAAAAGCAGUUAAAGCUAGAAAAGCAGCACACCCCUUGGGGACCUUUUGUCUUUUUAUAAACAGGUGAAAGAAGCACUACCCAAGGAUCCUGAGCAACCCUGCCACUUGCUGGAACCAGGAGACUGGGUCUACAUAAAGGUCCAUCAGCAAAAGACCGCCCUGACCCCACCCUGGAAAGGCCCUUACCAAGUUCUGCUAACUACCAACAUAACUGUGAAGUGCCAAGGACUGUCUGGACCCAUGCUUUUUACUGCAAGAAGGCCCCCUCCACCUCGAGAUGACCCUACAACUGCUGAUCAGCCUGUCCCUCCUUUUGAUACUUCUUUUCCCACUUCUGGACAGCAGGAGAAAAGGACAAGGUGAAGUGCUGGUAACCUCUCCCUUGUCCACUAACAGAACCACCAUACAUUCACCAUCUGCUGGAGGAACCCAGUUAUUACAGGGUGACGUGCUGGUAACCUCUCCCCUGUAUGAUGCUGAACCACGACUGUUCCAGGAAAGAAGAAGAAGGUAUGUUCGUUCCACUGAAAUUGCCAAAGUCCAGGGAUUCUUGACUAUAAAACACAUUAAAAACUGGCCCUGGUGGAAGAGACGGAGUAUCGUAACCUGUCAGGGAGGAACUUGUGGGAACUGCGCUUGGGACUGUGGUAUUGAGUAGUGGUUUGGGUUUAUUCCGGGGACUGGGCUCUGUGCUUUCAGACAAGUACCUUCAGCAUGUAUAGCUCUCCCUAACUGGCAUUCAGAUGACUAAUACCAAAGGCGCCUUGCUGCCACGACCACUGCCCCCACCAUUAUCCUCACUACCACUACAACCCCUAUAACACAUCCUAAUACAGACACUAUACCAUAUAUUCUAAUGAAUCCCAAUGGCCAAGGCCUUUACAUCUUAGUGAUCCCUAUGGAAUGGUGCCAAUAGUGCAGGAGCAAUUUGGAACAUUUAUGAAGGCCAACAGCACGGAGAGAAAUUAGGCCAAUUGGAAAAGGCCGCAGGCCUUAUUACUGGAGCACAGUUAACCCAAGUGCAGGCUGGAGUUGGUGAAUUACAUGUUAUUUCUGCCCUUAGCUCAAUGACCCAGAAGCUGUUGACAGAGAUGGUACUGAAUAUCACUGAGGCAGGAAAGGAAUUGCAGGGGGAUCUGGCAUGUUUAGAAAAAAGAGAUUUUCUGAAUGAUCAGCUCAUGGCCAUUUGGAGUGAUCUUGAACAUCAGGCUUGGCCUACUGCCCUUACCAGUGCUUCAGGAAUGCCAUCUGAUCUGUGGCCAUGGAGACAUACUUGGAGAUUUUCUGGGUGGCAGUGCAGAUGUUCGUGGUUCUCCUUUCAAGCAUACAGGCUGGUAUAUGGGCUCCUACAUGCCGAAUCCUGCUGGGUCCGUGGGGAGGAUGCAUGUGGGAUUGGAGGGAUAGCUCAAUGGGGGUGGAGGGAUAGCUCAGUGGUUUGAGCAUUGGCCUGCUUAACCCAGGGUUGUGAGUUCA